Molecule: RNA transcript, 709 nt
Organism: Patiria miniata (bat star)
Lineage: Eukaryota; Metazoa; Echinodermata; Asteroidea; Valvatida; Asterinidae
Gene name: transmembrane protein 256 homolog
Exons: 4
Source: RefSeq, a predicted model, not a curated record
AUUGGGAUCAUGACCGGACUUUUCCAUGCGAUGUGUUAUUUUUUUUUUCUGAGCUGGGAAAUUUCAUUAGUGUCACAAUUGUUGGGUACAAUUAAAAUUAUGGCAAUUUUGCGGUCAGCAGAAAUUUUCAUCAGGAUUGCUGGUGUUUCGGGGUUUCUAGCCGUAGCUCUUGGUGCAUACGGAUCACAUGGUCUGAGGAAAAGAGUUGAUGACAAAACUUAUGAGGUUUUUCAAACCGCCAACAGGUAUCACUUUAUACACACCCUGGCACUGCUAGCUGUACCUAUGACUAGACAUCCAACAGUUGUUGGCGUCCUACUCUUCCUUGGAAUGCUGGGGUUCUGUGGAACCUGCUACUAUUCUGCUCUGUCUGGAUCAAAGACUCUCAACAAGUUUACUCCUUACGGUGGAAUGGUGCUUAUGGCUGGCUGGCUCGCUAUGGCGUUCUAAUAAUUCUUUCUAAAGAGAUUUUUUUUUACCAAAGAACUUUGGAUGAUGUUAUGAUGUCAAAGGUGAAUAUAGAUCGAUUUGAAUUUGAAUAAAGUCUGGAACGCUGACUUAACCCAAUGCUUUGCAUGUUUUAACUUUGCAUUUUCCGACCAAAGAGACUGUUACUAUAUCCAAGAUUCGGGACAAGCCUUAUGCUAGCAAGCCCCAGCUCCGGCAUGGUCUGGUGUCUUUAUGCCAUUCUCACCCAUUGUGAACAAUG